Molecule: ribosomal RNA, 500 nt
Filed under: uncultured bacterium
Lineage: Bacteria
Description: partial 16S ribosomal RNA
Rfam family: Bacterial small subunit ribosomal RNA
Source: RNAcentral
AUUGAACGCUGGCGGCAGGCCUAGCACAUGCAAGUCGAGCGGAUGAGAGGAGCUUGCUUCUCGAUUCAGCGGCGGACGGGUGAGUAAUGCCUAGGAAUCUGCCUGGUAGUGGGGGACAACGUUUCGAAAGGAACGCUAAUACCGCAUACGUCCUACGGGAGAAAGCAGGGGACCUUCGGGCCUUGCGCUAUCAGAUGAGCCUAGGUCGGAUUAGCUAGUUGGUGAGGUAAUGGCUCACCAAGGCGACGAUCCGUAACUGGUCUGAAAGGAUGAUCAGUCACACUGGAACUGAGACACGGUCCAGACUCCUAAGGGAGGCAGCAGUGGGGAAUAUUGGACAAUGGGCGAUAGCCUGAUCCAGCCAUGCCGCGUGUGUGAAGAAGGUCUUCGGAUUGUAAAGCACUUUAAGUUGGGAGGAAGGGUUGUAGAUUAAUAGCACAGCAUUUUGACGUUACCUACAGAAGAAGCACCGGCUGACUCUGUGCCAGCAGCCGCAGUAA